AGGACGAACGCUGGCGGCGUGCUUAACACAUGCAAGUCGAACGGAAAGGCCUCUUCGGAGGUACUCGAGUGGCGAACGGGUGAGUAACACGUGGGUGAUCUGCCCUGCACUUCGGGAUAAGCCUGGGAAACUGGGUCUAAUACCGAAUAUGACCUCUUGGCGCAUGCCUUGUGGUGGAAAGCUUUUGCGGUGUGGGAUGGGCCCGCGGCCUAUCAGCUUGUUGGUGGGGUAACGGCCUACCAAGGCGACGAUGGGUAGCUGGUCUGAGAGGACGAUCAGCCACACUGGGACUGAGACACGGCCCAGACUCCUACGGGAGGCAGCAGUUAGGAAUUUUCCGCAAUGGGCGAAAGCCUGACGGAGCAACGCCGCGUGUGUGAUGAAGGCCUUCGGGUUGUAAAGCACUGUCGGAGGGAAGAAUGAAUGACGGUACCCUCCAAGAAGCCCGGCUAACUACGUACCAGCAGCCGC
This 471-nucleotide ribosomal RNA is filed under the name uncultured bacterium. RNAcentral describes it as "SSU rRNA". It matches the Rfam family "Bacterial small subunit ribosomal RNA", at positions 26 to 518 of the family's 1533-position model. The record is from RNAcentral.